CCGGAAUCUUCCCCUGGCAGAGAAACAGGGCUAAGCAGCCGCCAGGGAGCAAGCCUGGACUUGCCAUAUCACCACCUUCUGUGCUGAAGGGGCCAGAGCUUCCUCAUCACCCUGCACCCCCUAGCAAGGGAGGUGCCCGCUACACGGUCCAAAGUCCUCUCCAGACAUUCGGGCCCUGCCCGCCUUGCUGGAGGGCUCAGGAGUUCACCAGGUUUGCUUCCAGAAGAGCCAGGCUGGAGAUGCCUGCUUGCAAAUGCAGCAAAUAAAAAAUAAAUAAAUAAAUAAAAAUC
Long non-coding RNA from Pan troglodytes (chimpanzee), 290 nucleotides. RefSeq lists it as uncharacterized. The record is from RefSeq and is a predicted model, not a curated record. The transcript is spliced from 2 exons. NCBI's taxonomy places the organism in Eukaryota, Metazoa, Chordata, Mammalia, Primates, Hominidae.